GCAAAGUGGAAGGGGAAGUGGUAGGGGUAGGGGAAAGGAAAGAAGGGAAUGGAAUUAAUAUGAGAAAAUGAAAACAUGGAAACAAAGUCUUUGUAAAUAGGGAGGGACGGAGGGGUUGAAGUUGAGGGGAAAGGGGGGAAAAAACCCAUUCAGAACUGGCUUUAACUAAACACAACUGACCAUCACUAUGUGAAAAACCAAAUGCUUUAAUGAAGCUACCAGGAACAACAGUUCAAUUGUUUCAUUGGAUACAUUAAUAUCAAUCCAUAAUGUACAUUUCUAUGGACCGUACAGAAAUUAUUGCUGUAUCCAACAGCAGGUGACUAUUAUUAACAUUACAGUACCAAGUGUCCACAAGAGACAGUCACUUGUCAUUUUAUCAAGAAAUAGGGUUUUUAUACUGCUAUCAACAUCAACUCUUCCCCAGUGCAUUUUUCAAAAGUAUUACUAAGUGCAUUCUUUUGUGCUUUAUUUUAUAUCUUUUAAUGUCCUAUGUAUUUUAUUUGUUCUUAUUGCUUUAUUGUUUAAAAACAACCAGAAAGAAGUUUGUCAUCUUUGAUGUAUGACCAGGUUGCUUGUACAGUUUUUGGCAAAGUCAGAAGGUUUGGUAUGUCCAUUGUCUUACCUAGAGGCAGGUGGACAAUUAUGGUAUUUUGGUCACCCCAAAUGGAGGCCCAACCCUGAGCCACAAUUCUGCACCCAGGGAUGGGGGGGAGUGGUGUGGAUCAUUCUCUUGUUAAAAACAGCAAGCCCCAAACAUUGCCUCUUGGCUUAAAUAGUCCCUAAGAUGAAUCCACAUACUGUUUGGCAAAAAAGAAAGAAAUAAAACCACCCCCCAGGGUUGCAGCAUUCUCCUGAGCUUGCUCACCUGCCACUCUCAGCAACUGUGUCUUAAGAAGGUCACAGGGAAGUAGGAGAUGACAGCUCAGGAGUCGCAGGAUUUAGGCAGUGGUACAAGAUGCCAUACACUCUCUCAACAAAGCUUUCCAGAAGGCUGCUUCACCAUGGCUGUAUUCCUUCGGCCAUAGUCAGUUAACGUUGGGUUUAUUGCUAAAACCCCUCAAGAUCAGCUUAAAAAAACUGGCAUCAUAGCAUCACCAUCUUCCACUUUCACACCCAGUCCCCUCCCCCCAUAUAAAUAUGAAGAGAAAAGUAGACGAUACUAUGAUUGUAUCAAUGAACACUAAGAUACAGUUUGCUGUUCAUGCAGAUUUGCAUCACUAUUCUAGGAAAAGAGCUAUACAAUUAAGAGGGUUAAAAUAAUGGGAACUAAUCUUCCCUACCCCCUUAAGUAAUAAAGCUAUAAAAGUAAUAGCAUCAUCAGUGUUUCCUACGAGUCUAAGGAGUCUUGUUGCCCAACGUGCCUGGGGAUGACGUAGUUGAUUAUUAACACUGAUGCCAUCCAUUCACACAGCUGACAAUUACUCCUCUCCCAUCCCUCCAUCACCCACCACCAAUUCACAUUUGACAUUUAAACACUUUUAAAAAAACCUUCUGAAUAAGGUUUCUUGAUGAAAGAAGUUGGCACUCUGUCACUAAAAUAUGUUUCAUAUUAAAAAUAUGUGAAGGAAAAUUGGAAGCUCUUAUAUGGUCUACAUAGGCACCAUGCUACAUGUUCCUGUCGACUAGAGAUACCAUCUUGAAACUUUCUCCUACAUUACAGUUCAGUCAGUGCUAGUCCAAAAAAGACUACUGUUAUAUUUAAGGCACUUCAUUCUGAAUGGAUAUGCUUUAUGCCACUCGCUAUUCAAUUGUAGGCUGCUACUGAGAAAUUCCAUUCCCCAGCCUGGCUUAUAACAUGAUAUGUCAUCUGUAUAAAACACCUAGGCUUGAUACAUAUAACACUACUGUUAUUGCAUAGGGCUACACAAAGAGAUAAUGCACUGAAACUAACUUUACAACAUUGCUGCUUGUUAAAACAUUGUUAUCAAGUAACAGUAAUUUGCCAAUCCAGUAUUUUUCUCUUUAAAAAAAUCCAGUGAGUUUGCUGAAAUAAACCCCAAUUUUAAUAACCAUAAUGGGCAUAGUAAUACUAUGGUUAUCAGUCUCCAAGAAUAUUGCUAUUUUUU
Long non-coding RNA from Heterocephalus glaber (naked mole-rat), 2069 nucleotides. Lineage: Eukaryota; Metazoa; Chordata; Mammalia; Rodentia; Bathyergidae. The record is from Ensembl.